AUCCGACAAAAAUUUUCAGAAAUUUUUUUAUGUUUCGUCAUUUCAAUUAUAAGAGAUAUUUAUUAUAACUCAAAAACCAGCUUCGAGAUUGUCCUCUCCGGAGUUAAAAAAAAAUAAUCGACUUCUCAGGGUGAGAGUGAUGGAUUUGCUUCCGGCCGAGACGACCUCGCAGAUCGCCAAGAAGCAUGGCUUCCGGUCACUGAAACUGGUUAACGUCGACCUGGACCAAGUUCUAGAGGACAAACCCUUCGGCGCUGACUACGGCCGCCUCGACAAUGGCCUCUUUUACUAUGUUCGUCGGAACUCCAAGCCUCGAAUGCGUGCCGCUCUCGCUCUCGCAGUCAAGGCUGGGUACUCAAUUUCACCAAUUUUCAAAUUUUAUGAUAUGUAUCGGGGUUGUUGUUGUGGUUUUAGGGGCUGAUUCAUUGGGUUUGUGGCAGCUCAGUUUUGGAGGAGGAGGAGGAGCGGGGAGUGGCUCACAUAGUAGAGCAUCUCGCUUUUAGCGCCACUACGAAAUACACGAAUCACGAUAUUGUUAAAUUUCUUGAGAGUAUUGGGGCGGAGUUUGGUGCUUGUCAAAAUGCGGUCACUUCUGCUGAUGAGACUGUGUAUGAGCUGUUUGUGCCUGUUGAUAAGCCAGAAUUGCUAUCUCAGGCCAUUUCUGUCUUGGCUGAAUUCAGUACUGAGGUUAGGGUAUCAAAAGAAGAUUUGGAGAAAGAAAGAGGAGCUGUUAUGGAAGAGUAUAGAGGGAAUAGGAAUGCUAGUGGAAGAAUGCAGGAUGCUCAUUGGAUUCUGAUGAUGGAAGGUUCAAAGUAUGCUGACCGCUUACCAAUUGGAUUAGAGAAGGUGAUUCGGACAGUUUCUGCUGAGACUGUAAAGCAAUUUUAUAGGAAAUGGUACCAUCUGCAGAACAUGGCCGUGAUAGCUGUUGGAGAUUUUUCUGAUACCAAGAGUGUAGUUGAGUUGAUCAAGAUGCAUUUUGGGCAGAAAUAUCCAGAACCUGACCCCCAUUUGAUACCAGUAUUAGAGGUUCCACCCCACAAGGAACCACGUUUUUCAUGUUUUGUUGAAUCUGAAGCUGCUGGGUCUGCAGUGAUGAUUAGCUAUAAGAUGCCUACAGAUGAGCUGAAGAAGGUGAAGGACUACAAGUCUAUGCUUGUAGAAUCCAUGUUUCUCUGUGCUCUAAACCAGAGAUUCUUUAAAUUAUCUCGCAGAAAGGAUCCACCCUAUUUCUCAUGCUCAGCUGCAGCAGAUGUUCUAGUUUGUCCACUGAAGGCUUGUAUAAUGACUUCAGCCUGUAAAGAGAAAGGCACUUUGCGGGCCCUAGAAUCAAUGCUCUUUGAGGUUGCAAGGGUACGGUUACAUGGUUUUUCGGAACGUGAAAUAUCUAUUGUUCGAGCUUUACUAAUGGCUGAGAUUGAGUCUGCCUAUCUGGAGCGUGAUCAGAUGCAAUCAACCAACUUGCGAGAUGAAUAUUUACAACAUUUUCUCCGAAAUGAACCUGUUGUUGGGAUUGAGUAUGAAGCUCAACUUCAAAAAACAAUUCUCCCUCAGAUAUCGGCAUUAGAGGUAUCCAAGUAUUCAGAGAAGUUACGAACAUCAUGUAGCUGUGUUAUAAAGACAAUUGAACCGCGAGCUUCUGCAACAGUUGAUGAUCUGAAAAAAGUGCUAUUGAAAAUAAGUGUUCUUGAGGGGGAAGGAAGCAUUAGCCCUUGGGAUGAUGAAAAAAUUCCAGAGGAAAUUGUUGCUACAAAGCCAAAUCCAGGGAGUAUCCUGCAUCAGCUUGACUAUCCAAAUAUUGGAGCAUCUGAAUUAAUCCUAUCAAAUGGCAUGCGAGUUUGCUAUAAGUGUACAGACUUACUUGAUGAUCAGGUUCUUUUUACAGGGUUCUCAUAUGGUGGUCUGUCUGAAAUCCCGGAAAGUGAUUAUUUUUCGUGCUCAAUGGGAUCAACCAUUGCUGGAGAAAUUGGUGUAUUUGGUUACAGACCAUCUGUUCUAAUGGAUAUGCUUGCUGGUAAGAGAGUUGAAGUUGGUACAAAACUUGGAGCAUACAUGAGAACUUUUUCAGGAGAUUGUUCACCUUCAGAUCUGGAAACAGCUUUGCAGCUUGUCUAUCAACUAUUUACUACAAAUGUAAUACCUGGAGAAGAAGAUGUCAAAAUUGUCAUGCAAAUGGCAGAGGAAGCAGUUCGUGCUCAAGAGAGAGAUCCUUAUACUGCUUUUGCAGACCGAGUUAAGGAGCUCAACUAUGGGAGCUCCUAUUUUUUUAGGCCUAUUAGAAUAAAGGACCUACGAAAAGUUGAUCCACUAAAAGCUUGUGAAUAUUUUAACAGCUGUUUUAAGGAUCCUUCAACUUUUACUUUUGUGAUUGUUGGAAAUCUUGAUCCUACUAUUGCACUUCCUCUGAUAUUGCAGUAUUUGGGUGGAGUACCAAAACCUCCUGAACCUAUUCUCCACUUUAACCGGGAUGACCUCAAAGGAUUACCAUUCACAUUUCCUACAAGCAUAAUAAGAGAAGUGGUUCGCAGCCCCAUGGUGGAAGCACAAUGUUCAGUUCAGCUAAGCUUUCCUGUGGUGCUGAAGAACGGGACAAUGGUAGAAGAGAUUCACCGUGUUGGCUUCCUAAGCAAACUUCUUGAAACAAAAAUCAUGCAAGUGCUACGUUUCAAGCAUGGGCAGAUAUACUCAGCUGGUGUUUGCGUGUUCCUUGGCGUAAUAGACCUUCUAAAACUGAUGAUAUACGUG
RNAcentral lists this unclassified non-coding RNA (2745 nucleotides) under Hevea brasiliensis (rubber tree). Lineage: Eukaryota; Viridiplantae; Streptophyta; Magnoliopsida; Malpighiales; Euphorbiaceae. The record is from RNAcentral.